Thalassophryne amazonica is the source of this 857-nucleotide long non-coding RNA. RefSeq lists it as uncharacterized. The record is from RefSeq and is a predicted model, not a curated record. NCBI's taxonomy places the organism in Eukaryota, Metazoa, Chordata, Actinopteri, Batrachoidiformes, Batrachoididae. The transcript is spliced from 3 exons.
UUGUGUUUUCUGAGGACAUAAUCACAUUUAAGUAACUAGGGCCAACGUGGAACAGCUGUGCCUAGUGAUUGAACUCUUUCCUUGAGUUGCCUUCACGUACAUGCCGUCUGUACUGUGGCAGGACUACAGUACCAUGGAGUUCUGAGAGAUGUGAAGAAAUUACAUAUAUAGCCACUGAAGUAGUGUUAAUUGUAUUAAUGGAGCCUCAAUCAUUCACCACUUCAUGUAUCAUCGAAUGUAAUUUUACUACUGCAUGUACUCACCAAAUCCCAGGGCCUGGUGUUCAUCACUUACAGAAUAGUCUGCACAUGAACACCUCAUUGCAUGUUAUUUUCUUCAUCAUAUAACAGCAGGAUGCUCAUUUCCUACCACGUUUUUUAACAUAUUUUCUGAAUCCUGUUAUAUUGCUCUGUAAUGCAGCAGACUGGAGAGUAACAGUGGAGGAAUUUGAUCCAAUAGUCUGCAGCUUUACAUUGUGUCCAGCUUUGUUUUUUCCCCAUAUAUUUAUAAGAUGACAGAUGUGCUGUGAGUAUUCUAGGAAGUUUUUUUUUAUUAUUAUUAUUUUUAUUUAUUUUGUUUUUGUGGUGGUGGUGGUUGUACUGUAGUUUGGGUCCCGAUGAUAAAAUCUAAAUCUAUCAGAAAAUACUGGUUUUGGCGCAAGACGGUGAAUGUUUCAGUCAUGUAUAUAAACAAAAAAAUGAGGUAAAUAUUAUGUUGAAUAGAAAUGGUUUCAAUCUGGUCAGUAAAGCUGCUAAAAUGGCAUUAAUUUGGAGUUUUGCUUUGGCUUGUUAUCUUCAUUUCUAAUUUUCUGAACCUUCACAUCUUUUUUUAUGAAAAUCCUUAUAUGAAUGGCAGAG